RNAcentral lists this long non-coding RNA (310 nucleotides) under Suricata suricatta (meerkat). Its description in RNAcentral is "lncRNA (ENSSSUG00005011657.1)". The record is from RNAcentral. Lineage: Eukaryota; Metazoa; Chordata; Mammalia; Carnivora; Herpestidae.
GGACUUCAGAAAGAUCCUGUCACUUCCAUACCUACCACCUGGUCCAGAGCCUCAGUAAAUACUGCUUUGAGCUCUCAAAGAUCAUGUGCAACAAUGCUAUGAUUCAGGAUCAGGAAAUCAUUGAAGUAGAAAUGUCCUAAAGAUGAGCAAUGCCCUGAUUCUUUCUUGUUCACAGACAACUAGGGUAUUUGAGCACAAGAUGACAGCAACUCAACUCUAGUUUUAUUAAUCCAUCUGGGACAGAGGGGAUAAGGUAGGUCCUGGGCUUGUGCCUUCAUACAGGAAUUGAUUACAUUCUGACGGAUUCUGC